CCUACGGGAGGCAGCAGUGGGGAAUAUUGCACAAUGGGCGCAAGCCUGAUGCAGCAACGCCGCGUGAGGGACGAAGGCCUUCGGGUUGUAAACCUCUUUUAGUAGGGAAGAAGCGAAAGUGACGGUACCUGCAGAAAAAGCACCGGCUAACUACGUGCCAGCAGCCGCGGUAAUACGUAGGGUGCAAGCGUUGUCCGGAAUUAUUGGGCGUAAAGAGCUCGUAGGCGGUUUGUCGCGUCUGCUGUGAAAACCCGAGGCUCAACCUCGGGCCUGCAGUGGGUACGGGCAGACUAGAGUGCGGUAGGGGAGAUUGGAAUUCCUGGUGUAGCGGUGGAAUGCGCAGAUAUCAGGAGGAACACCGAUGGCGAAGGCAGAUCUCUGGGCCGUAACUGACGCUGAGGAGCGAAAGCAUGGGGAGCGAACAGGAUUAGAUACCCUGGUAGUCCAUGCCGUAAACGUUGGGAACUAGAUGUGGGGGCCAUUCCACGGCUUCCGUGUCGCAGCUAACGCAUUAAGUUCCCCGCCUCGGGAGUACGGCCGCAAGGCUAAAACUUAAAGGAAUUGACGG
RNAcentral lists this ribosomal RNA (568 nucleotides) under uncultured bacterium. RNAcentral's name for it is "bacterial SSU rRNA". It matches the Rfam family "Bacterial small subunit ribosomal RNA", at positions 338 to 916 of the family's 1533-position model. The record is from RNAcentral.